UCGUCAGCAGUGCGCCGCGUGUUGUAUAAAUAAUAAAUACUGUCCACUUUAGAGCAAUAAACGGUUGUAGUUUGUACGUAGUGCGUCAAUAAGUUUAUUCAUUUGUGACCGUAUCACAUCGGUGGUUUCGUGCUUGAUCCGAAAAGUUGAUUCGCGGGUGCUUUCGCUGAAGUGCGAACCGGGAGUAUCCCACAAACCCCACCCCGUCGUAUCAAUGAAGCUGUAGCAGUCAAAACGUUUAAUGCAAGAAAUGGCGUUUAUUCAGUGAAUCGAAAUGAAUCGCCUGCUUUGAGCGUGCUUACAGCGGCACACUAGAAGCUAGGAGUUAGCUUUUAGAAAUCAGUAUGGCGAAAGGCAUCUCGAAAAUAAGCAACUUAAUAAAAAAAAACAUUUGGCAGGCGUUGUAGCAGAUACCUUCCUACAUAACGGAUCAAUCAAGUCUCCAAAAUAAAAAUAAAAAUCUCCGUGAAAGGGUAAUUUUGAUUUUGGAAGAUGUUAUUAGGUCCUAAAAGUUUUCUGGAUGUACUGGCAACUCAAAAUAAAAGGGUUCCAACGUUCCAGUGUCCGGAAUGAAUGUUGAAGCUAUAAGUUGUCAGAAAUUAGCUUCACGAAUGAACAAAUGGCGAAAAUGUCUGAAUAUUCACUCAUUGUCACGUCCUGGUUACAUCCUAACAAUUGAAGUAGGGCAUCUGAAGAUUAUUUAUUUUAAAAAAUAUAUUAAUAUAUGUCUAAUUGAAUCUAAAAUAUAAAAAAUC
This is a long non-coding RNA of Armigeres subalbatus, 755 nucleotides long. RefSeq lists it as uncharacterized. Lineage: Eukaryota; Metazoa; Arthropoda; Insecta; Diptera; Culicidae. The transcript is spliced from 4 exons. The record is from RefSeq and is a predicted model, not a curated record.